Molecule: ribosomal RNA, 229 nt
Filed under: uncultured bacterium
Lineage: Bacteria
Description: partial 16S ribosomal RNA
Rfam family: Bacterial small subunit ribosomal RNA
Source: RNAcentral
CGCGUAGGCGGUCUCUUAAGUCAGAUGUGAAAGCCCGGGGCUUAACCCCGGAAGUGCAUUUGAAACUAAAGGGCUUGAGUAUGGGAGAGGGAAGUGGAAUUCCUGGUGUAGCGGUGAAAUGCGUAGAUAUCAGGAGGAACACCGGUGGCGAAGGCGACUUCCUGGACCAAUACUGACGCUAAGGCGCGAAGGCGUGGGUAGCAAACAGGAUUAGAUACCCUGGUAGUCC